RNAcentral lists this ribosomal RNA (564 nucleotides) under uncultured Glomeromycotina. RNAcentral describes it as "SSU rRNA". It matches the Rfam family "Eukaryotic small subunit ribosomal RNA", at positions 548 to 1114 of the family's 1831-position model. Lineage: Eukaryota; Fungi; Glomeromycota. The record is from RNAcentral.
UUGGAGGGCAAGUCUGGUGCCCGCAGCCGCGGUAAUUCCAGCUCCAAUAGCGUAUAUUAAAGUUGCUGCAGUUAAAAAGCUCGUAGUUGAAUUUCGGGACCAUCAUGUCGGUCGUGCCUCGGUACGUACUGGUAUUGUUGGUUUCUCCCUUCUGACGAACCAUGAUGUCAUUUAUUUGGUGUUGUGGGGAAUCAGGACUGUUACUUUGAAAAAAUUAGAGUGUUUAAAGCAGGCUCACGCUUGAAUACAUUAGCAUGGAAUAAUGAAAUAGGACGUUCGAUCCUAUUUUGUUGGUUUCUAGGAUUGACGUAAUGAUUAAUAGGGAUAGUUGGGGGCAUUAGUAUUCAAUUAUCAGAGGUGAAAUUCUUGGAUUUAUUGAAGACUAACUACUGCGAAAGCAUUUGCCAAGGAUGUUUUCAUUAAUCAAGAACGAAAGUUAGGGGAUCGAAGACGAUCAGAUACCGUCGUAGUCUUAACCAUAAACUAUGCCGACUAGGGAUCGGAUGAUGUUAAUUUUUUAAUGACUCAUUCGGCGCCUUACGGGAAACCAAAGUGUUUGGGUUC